This is a long non-coding RNA of Haliotis rubra (blacklip abalone), 511 nucleotides long. RefSeq lists it as uncharacterized. The transcript is spliced from 3 exons. The record is from RefSeq and is a predicted model, not a curated record. Lineage: Eukaryota; Metazoa; Mollusca; Gastropoda; Lepetellida; Haliotidae.
AAACAGUUCCGACUUCAAAUACCCUUGACCUUCACGGGGAAUCUGUUAAGAGUGCGCGGUCUCUUGUUGAAAAGUUCCUGAAAGAAAAGAAACAAGAACAAAGCUGGAGUCGUCAUGGACAGACACUGUCAAUCAUCACAGGAAGGGGAAUCAUAGCCUUGACGGGCGUGCUGUUCUGAAGCCGGUCGUUGAGAAACAACUGAGACAAAACGGCUACAAAUACACGGUGGAUCCAAAAAAUGCGGGUCGUAUCAUUGUAAAACUUGAUUAUUAUAAUAUGGUUUAAGAAGCAUUUUAUGCUUUUUACCAGUAUAACCAUACCCGCAUGCAUGUGUUCGAGAGACCAAGCAUCAGACCAUUUCCUAAUAAUACCAGUAUAAUCAUACCCACAUGUGUUCGAUAAGGAUUGGAAAGCCACAUUAACUCGGUGCGCCUAGUGGCUGCAAGAGUUGUAUGGUCCCAGGAGUUGAGAUUGAGAAUACGAUGUGCAGUUGAGAUGACAUCCAAUGAU